Notolabrus celidotus (New Zealand spotty) is the source of this 452-nucleotide long non-coding RNA. RefSeq lists it as uncharacterized. The record is from RefSeq and is a predicted model, not a curated record. The transcript is spliced from 3 exons. Lineage: Eukaryota; Metazoa; Chordata; Actinopteri; Labriformes; Labridae.
UGUUGUAAUUCAGCAUAAACUGGCCAUGCUCAUCAAAGAGGAACUAUUGAAGAAAUUAGGCUAAAAAUGUGUCACAGAGGCAUAACAGUGAGACAAAGUCAUCCCUCUGCUGUGCCAGCAUCAGAGGUGGCAACAGAAGCUCUACAGGUGGGAGAUGGGAUCAAUGUGAACAGCAGAUCUGGCAGGGCAGAACAGAGUGUGGUGGAAGGUGAGCUGAGUAUCCAUGCAACAGAGGCAGCUGUUGGAGGACACCUCUCUCUGGAUACGACAGCAGUCCACAGGUCUGCCAUCUUAGAUCAGCCUGACAGCUGAGACGGCUGCUGACAGCGACACCAAGGACACACAGCUCUGUUAAGCACCAGGCAGCCACCUUUGAAGCAAUGAGAAGUGUGUGACUGUGUGACUGUGUGUGUGUGUGUGUGUGACUGUGUGACUGUGUGAGAGUGUGAGAG